RNAcentral lists this small RNA (861 nucleotides) under Pan troglodytes (chimpanzee). Its description in RNAcentral is "processed transcript". Lineage: Eukaryota; Metazoa; Chordata; Mammalia; Primates; Hominidae. The record is from RNAcentral.
GGGUUUCACCGUGUUAGCCAGGAUGGUCUCAAUCUGACCUUGUGAUCCGCCCGCCUCGGCCUCCCAAAGUGCUGGGAUUACAGGCAUGGGCCACCGCACCCGGCCCUUAGUUAAUUUCUGGACCAAGGAAUUGGAAUCUGGGGUCUUUUAGGAAACGACUGGGGAUUCAGCAACCUGCCAAAUUGAGCCUUGGAGCAGCCUCUGAGAUGUUAGCUGUGGAGGAGGAGGCCCCUGCUUCCUGGGGCCCAUCAUCCAUUCCCAAAAGUGCUGAGCAUUGCAGGCUCUUCAAGAGCUGCGGUCAACACCAGCUCCAGGCCUCGGGCUGGAAGCCUCUUCAGCAAGUGCCGCAGGGAGGCCCUGGGUGGGUGAGCCGGGAGGUGGAAUUGCGUAACAGCUCUGUAUCCAUUGCUGCGGUCAUUAGCCAUGGAGAGGGUGACGGGGGCUGUAACGGGGCAAGCCUCCCGGGUUCCAGCUGCCAUCCUCGCCCCUCUGGGCUCUUUCCUCCCUGGCUCUGCUAUAGCCGGAGCGGUUGCAGGGCACACAUUACUCGGUGCAGUCGGACAUCUGGAGCAUGGGCCUGUCCCUGGUGGAGCUGGCCGUCGGAAGGUACCCCAUCCCCCCGCCCGACGCCAAAGAGCUGGAGGCCAUCUUUGGCCGGCCCGUGGUCGACGGGGAAGAAGGAGAGCCUCACAGCAUCUCGCCUCGGCCGAGGCCCCCCGGGCGCCCCGUCAGCGGUCACGGGAUGGAUAGCCGGCCCGCCAUGGCCAUCUUUGAACUCCUGGACUAUAUUGUGAACGAGCCGCCUCCUAAGCUGCCCAACGGUGUGUUCACCCCCGACUUCCAGGAGUUUGUCAAUAAAUG